UAAUACUGGAUAGGCAAUUUUUCCUGUAAUGGUUUUUUGUUUAAAUGUUUUUUCGCCUAAGGAUGGGUCUGCGGCCGAUUAGGUAGUUGGUUAGGUAAUGGCUUACCAAGCCUUUGAUCGGUACGGGUUGUGAGAGCAAGAGCCCGGAGAUGGAACCUGAGACAAGGUUCCAGGCCCUACGGGGUGCAGCAGGCGCGAAACCUCCGCAAUGUGAGAAAUCGCGACGGGGGGAUCCCAAGUGCCAUUCUUAACGGGAUGGCUUUUCAUUAGUGUAAAGAGCUUUUGGAAUAAGAGCUGGGCAAGACCGGUGCCAGCCGCCGCGGUAACACCGGCAGCUCUAGUGGUAGCAAUUUUUAUUGGGCCUAAAGCGUCCGUAGCCGGUUUAAUAAGUCUCUGGUGAAAUCCUGUAGCUUAACUAUGGGAAUUGCUGGAGAUACUAUUAGACUUGAGACCGGGAGAGGUUAGAGGUACUCCCAGGGUAGAGGUGAAAUUCUGUAAUCCUGGGAGGACCGCCUGUUGCGAAGGCGUCUAACUGGAACGGUUCUGACGGUGAGGGACGAAAGUUAGGGGCGCGAACCGGAUUAGAUACCCGGGUAGUCCUAACUGUAAACGAUGCGGACUUGGUGUUG
This 629-nucleotide ribosomal RNA is filed under the name uncultured archaeon. RNAcentral's name for it is "bacterial SSU rRNA". It matches the Rfam family "Archaeal small subunit ribosomal RNA", at positions 147 to 776 of the family's 1478-position model. The record is from RNAcentral.